This 718-nucleotide ribosomal RNA is filed under the name uncultured fungus. RNAcentral describes it as "SSU rRNA". It matches the Rfam family "Eukaryotic small subunit ribosomal RNA", at positions 822 to 1566 of the family's 1831-position model. Lineage: Eukaryota; Fungi. The record is from RNAcentral.
AGGACGUCGCGGUUGUAUUUUGUUGGUUUGUAGGACCGCCGUAAUGAUUAAUAGGGACAGUCGGGGGCGUCAGUAUUCAAUCGUCAGAGGUGAAAUUCUUGGAUCGAUUGAAGACUAACUACUGCGAAAGCAUUCGCCAAGGAUGUUUUCAUUAAUCAGGAACGAAAGUUAGGGGAUGGAAAACGAUCAGAUACCGUUGUAGUCUUAACCAUAAACUAUGCCGACUAGGGAUCGGGCGAUGUUAUUUCUUGACUCGCUCGGCACCUUACACGAAAGUAAAGUUUUUGGGUUCUGGGGGGAGUAUGGUCGCAAGGCUGAAACUUAAAGAAAUUGACGGAAGGGCACCACAAGGGGUGGAGCCUGCGGCUUAAUUUGACUCAACACGGGGAAACUCACCAGGUCCAGACACAACUAGGAUUGACAGAUUGAGAGCUCUUUCUUGAUUUUGUGGGUGGUGGUGCAUGGCCGUUCUUAGUUGGUGGAGUGAUUUGUCUGCUUAAUUGCGAUAACGAACGAGACCUUAACCUGCUAAAUAGCCCGUGCCGCCUCGGCGGCACGCCGGCUUCUUAGAGGGACUAUCGGCUCAAGCCGAUGGAAGUUUGAGGCAAUAACAGGUCUGUGAUGCCCUUAGAUGUUCUCUUCACGCCCGCGCGACACUGACAGGACCAGCGAGUUCCUCCUUGGCCGAAAGGCCCGGGUAAUCUUGAAAUUGCCUUUU